AAACACUCCUCACAAUCCCUAAACUCUCAAAAUCUCUCACUCUCAACUCUCAGCUAAAAAACCUAGCCGCCGCUUCACAAAACCAACCCUCUCCGUUUUUCUCUUAGCCUUCGCCCUCCAUCUCCAUCAUCUCAACCCUUCUUCACUAACUCACACAAACCUUCAUCAAUCGUCAUCAUAACCUUACCACCACCGCCAAAUCGAAUCGCCGUUCUUCAUCGCCCCGUAGCCGCUCGAAACCUCAUUCGACCAACCCCAAAACCCAUCUUCAUCUCUUCAUCGCCGUUACCGUACAAACCCUCGCCGCCGUGAAGCUCACCUUCAGAUCGACGAACACCCCUAAAUACAAAUCUCCAACCGUCACAAACCCACCCUCCGUUAAUGCCAAACCCUUAAAAUCAAACCCAUUCCGCACUACCUCUCAACCGUUCCUGUCAAAAAAAAUUAACUCUCGGAAAUGUGUUGUUGCUGUAAUUUGCUGUUUUUCAGGGAAAAAGUUUGAAGGUCAAAGAGCCAUGGAUAUAUUGGGUGAAGCAAGCUGUGCGGAUUGUCAAAACGCCGAAGACAUGACGAUUGGAUAAGAGAUCUCAAGCUGCUGCUGUUAUUGAUUUGGGCUCUAUUGCAGUUACUGCAAUUACGGUAACUCCUCGGGCUAACUUUUCGGCAGUAGUUACAAACCUGUUUUCGUCAUCUUUUCAAUUCAUUAGGUUCUGUUUAGGUUUAGAAUCAUUAAUUUUUUAUGUGUUAUGUUGAAUUUGUGCUGAUAUCUGUUAAACGUAUUUAACUGCGAGCGAGGUUUCACUUCUGUUUAGGUUUUGAAUCAGUGUGCAGGGUUUGUCUGAUUUGUAAUUUCUAAUUAGCCUUUUAAUCCUGUCGAUAUAUGUUUGGUUUUAAUUGCAAUUUCUUUGAUUUUCUUCAAAUUCUGUUUUGGUGUAGCAUUGAGAGAUUGAUUAUUGAGGUAGAUUGAUUACUAAACUGAGGUGUAAUAUUUGGACAAAUUGGUUCUGUUUUAAUGUAGUGUGUAGACAUAGGAGUUUUUCAAUUAAGCUGUCAAAAAGUGUUUUAGCUUUUCCAAUGGUCAUCUUUCUUAUCUUGAAAAUUUGAGUUAUGGAUGUUUAUGAUUGCUUUGCUCUGUGAUAUGCUUGAUACGAUUAAGUGGAAACCGAACUGUUCAUAUUCUUGAUACAAUUUGAUUCUAGAUUUUUAGUUGAAUUUUGGUGUUUACUGUUAUUAUUGUAAAUAAACUUGUAAAUAUUAAAUUGAUUAUGUUUACAUUUGAUGCAUGAAUCAGAUUUUUUUUUUAAAACGACAUCGAUAAUACUGUCAUCUCGCCAUAACCGGUUUUUUAGCACAUUUUGUGACUACCAUGAUUCGAGUUUUGUAAAUCAAUGUUAUCAUAUGUUUCUUUUUCUAAUUAAUCAAUUUAAUUGUUGUUUAAUUAAUUAAUUAACAUUAAUUUUAAUUAACAUAAUUAUAUUUUCUAAGUGAAUAAUUUUGGUGAUUAGUUUUAGUUAAAGUAAUUAAUUAAUUCAAUCAAAUUUUGAGAAAUUAAUUUGGUUAAUUAGAAAACCAUAAUCAUUUCA
RNAcentral lists this long non-coding RNA (1583 nucleotides) under Lathyrus oleraceus (garden pea). RNAcentral's name for it is "Pisum sativum (pea) long non-coding RNA (PSAT_LNC026015)". Lineage: Eukaryota; Viridiplantae; Streptophyta; Magnoliopsida; Fabales; Fabaceae. The record is from RNAcentral.